AAAAGUGCACUUUCAGUAAAGUGAGUAAUUGGCAAAACGGGUUAUCAUUUUCAUGUUGAAGUGGCAGGGGGGUGUUGUUGGCACCUGCUGAAUGUAACUAAUAAAGUAACUAGUAAUC
Long non-coding RNA from Thalassophryne amazonica, 118 nucleotides. RefSeq lists it as uncharacterized. The transcript has 3 exons. NCBI's taxonomy places the organism in Eukaryota, Metazoa, Chordata, Actinopteri, Batrachoidiformes, Batrachoididae. The record is from RefSeq and is a predicted model, not a curated record.